UACGGAGGGUGCAAACGUUGCUCGGAAUCACUGGGCGUAAAGCGCACGUAGGCGGCCUUGCAAGUUGGAUGUGAAAGCCCUGGGCUCAACCCAGGAAGUGCAUCCAAAACUGCUUGGCUUGAGUACCGGAGGGGUUCAGAGAAUUCCCGGUGUAGAGGUGAAAUUCGUAGAUAUCGGGAGGAAUACCAGUGGCGAAGGCGCUGAACUGGACGGUAACUGACGCUGAGGUGCGAAAGCGUGGGUAUCAAACAGG
RNAcentral lists this ribosomal RNA (253 nucleotides) under uncultured bacterium. Its description in RNAcentral is "partial 16S ribosomal RNA". It matches the Rfam family "Bacterial small subunit ribosomal RNA", at positions 524 to 776 of the family's 1533-position model. The record is from RNAcentral.